This 489-nucleotide ribosomal RNA is filed under the name uncultured bacterium. RNAcentral describes it as "partial 16S ribosomal RNA". It matches the Rfam family "Bacterial small subunit ribosomal RNA", at positions 30 to 507 of the family's 1533-position model. The record is from RNAcentral.
UUGAACGCUGGCGGCAGGCCUAACACCUGCAAGUCGAACGGUAACAGGGAUCAGCUUGCUGAUUCGCUGACGAGUGGCGGCCGGGUGAGUAAUGUCUGGGAAACUGCCUGAUGGAGGGGGAUAACUACUGGAAACGGUAGCUAAUACCGCAUAACGUCGCAAGACCAAAGAGGGGGACCUUCGGGCCUCUUGCCAUCGGAUGUGCCCAGAUGGGAUUAGCUAGUAGGUGGGGUAACGGCUCACCUAGGCGACGAUCCCUAGCUGGUCUGAGAGGAUGACCAGCCACACUGGAACUGAGACACGGUCCAGACUCCUACGGGAGGCAGCAGUGGGGAAUAUUGCACAAUGGGCGCAAGCCUGAUGCAGCCAUGCCGCGUGUAUGAAGAAGGCCUUCGGGUUGUAAAGUACUUUCAGCGGGGAGGAAGGGAGUAAAGUUAAUACCUUUGCUCAUUGACGUUACCCGCAGAAGAAGCACCGGCUAACUCCGUG